AUGUCGGGGUCUCCUGUUGUUUCCCCUGUCGUUUCCCAAAUUCCUUCCACCGACCAGUCGUCCCUUCUUCCUCCCGCCGUGCGCGAAGCAGAUAUGUCCCACCAAUCAGACACAUCAUCCUGCUCGGAUGAUUCCGAUGACAGCACUACCAUUGACCCAACCGGCAUAUACACUAUGGAAGAUUUGAUUUCUGAACAAAGCAUCUUCCACAAUUUGCUUGAGCAGAUCAAUGUGAAGAUCCAGGCCAAAAUUAAACCUCAGCAAGCUGGUGCAUCUCGCCGUGGGAGUAGGAAGUACAUAGUGAGAAAUCGUGAAGAGGGCCAUGAACAACUUGUGGCUGAUUACUUCGCUGAGCAUCCAACCUACACUGACGAACAGUUCCGUACAAGGUACAGGAUGAGAAGGCCCCUCUUUCUACGUAUAGUCCGUGCCUUGGGAGAGUGGUCUCCCUAUUUCACAGAAAGGAGAGAUGGCCUUAAUCGUCAAGGACUCACACCUCUACAGAAGUGCACAGUAGCUAUUCGUAUAUUAGCAUUGGGUUCCCCCUCUGGCGUCACUGACAAAUACGUAGAAAUUGGUUUCAGCACAGUAAUGAACUGUUUGGAGCAGUUUGUGGAUGGGGUGAUCAACAUGUUUGGUGAAGAAUACUUGAGGAGCCCCACUAGUGUUGAUAUGCAGCGUCUUCUACAAAUGGGUGAGACCCGUGGGUUCCCUGGUAUGCUGGGAAGCAUUGGCUGUAUGCACUGGGAGUGGAAAAAUUGCCCAGUUAAAUGGGUGCGUCAUCUUACUCACAGUGAUCACGGUGUUGUUAAUAUCAUUCUUGAAGCAGUUGCUUCACAAGACCUCUGGAUAUGGCACGCUUUCUUUGGUGUUGUUGGGUCUCACAGUGAUAUUACCAUGCUGAAUCAAUCACAUUUGUUCACCGAUGUCUUGAAAGGUCAAGGUCCUCAUGUGCAAUUCUCCAUCAACAGGAGGCAGUACAGUAUGGGUUACUAUCUUGCUGAUGGUACAUACCCAGAAUGGCCUGUCUUCAUUAAGGCGAUGCCCCUCCCUCAAACUGAAAAGGAUCAAUUAUUCGCACAAUAUCAAAAAGGAGCAAGGAAUGAUGUCCAACGAGCAUUUAGACUCCUAGAAUCACGUUUUCCCAUCGUGCGUGGCCCAACAAAAUUCUUCCAGAAGGCAACUCUAGGCAAAAUCAUGCAGGUUUGCAUCAUACUACAUAACAUGACACUUGAGGAUGAGCAAGAUAGGGCAAGUGCUUGUUUCGACUCGAAUGAAAUUUCAGAGAAACCGGUUGCUCCACUGUCAAACAUUAAAUAUGGACCUACUGAUCAUUUUGCUGAUUUACUUCGGAGAAAUGCUAGUAUUUGUGCAAACUCAACAGAUAACCAACUCCGAAGAGAUUUAGUCGAGCAUGUUUGGCAGCGAUUUGGGCCAUUUGGCGACACGUAA
Molecule: ribosomal RNA, 1452 nt
Filed under: Triticum aestivum (bread wheat)
Lineage: Eukaryota; Viridiplantae; Streptophyta; Magnoliopsida; Poales; Poaceae
Description: partial small subunit ribosomal RNA
Source: RNAcentral